Molecule: ribosomal RNA, 202 nt
Filed under: uncultured bacterium
Lineage: Bacteria
Description: partial 16S ribosomal RNA
Rfam family: Bacterial small subunit ribosomal RNA
Source: RNAcentral
UACAGAGGGUGCAAGCGUUAAUCGGAAUUACUGGGCGUAAAGCGUGCGCAGGCGGUUUUGUAAGUCUGAUGUGAAAUCCCCGGGCUCAACCUGGGAAUUGCGAUGGAGACUGCAAGGCUUGAAUCUGGCAGAGGGGGGUAGAAUUCCACGUGUAGCAGUGAAAUGCGUAGAGAUGUGGAGGAAUACCGAUGGCGAAGGCAGC